AGUUUGAUCAGUGGCUACGAGGACGAACGCUGGCGGCGUGCUUAAAACAUGCAAGUCGAACGGAGUUUGAUUUGUCCUCGGAACAAGAUUAAACUUAGUGGCGGACGGGUGAGUAACACGUGAGCAACCUGCCUUUCACUGGGGAAUAACACUUAGAAAUAGGUGCUAAUACCGCAUAUGACCACAACCCGGCAUCGGGAAAAGGGUAAAAGAUUUAUCGGUGAAAGAGGGGCUUGCGCCUCAUUAGCUAGUUGGUAAGGGUAACGGCCUACCAAGGCAACGAUGAGUAGCCGAUCUGAGAGGAUGAACGGCCACACUGGAACUGAGACACGGUCCAGACUCCUACGGGAGGCAGCAGUGGGGAAUAUUGCACAAUGGGCGACAAGCCUGAUGCAGCGACGCCGCGUGAGCGAAGUAAGGUUUUCGGAUACGUAAAGCUCUGUCCGUUUGGGAAAGAAAAAAUGACGGUACCAAAGGAGGAACGCCCCGGCUAACUACGUGCCAGCCGCGGC
RNAcentral lists this ribosomal RNA (512 nucleotides) under uncultured bacterium. RNAcentral's name for it is "bacterial SSU rRNA". It matches the Rfam family "Bacterial small subunit ribosomal RNA", at positions 1 to 518 of the family's 1533-position model. The record is from RNAcentral.